UUUGAUUCUGCAAUUACAAACUAUAGAUUCUAGAGAAUUCGAUUCAAACACCUAUGACUCAUUCUUCAAGCUUGUAAGUGUAAUAUGGGUUCUAUUUCUUGAUUUUUAUUUUUAUGUCAGGGGCUUUGAAUGAUUUAGAUUGUCGUUUGAUUGCAGCUGUAGAUAUUUUACCAUUUUUUAUAUAGAAAAUAUUCAACAUACAUUUGUGAGGAAAAAGAUAUGCACUCUAGUCACACCAGAAAACUAAUUUUACUUUUAAUUUUCUACAGUAUAUAUACUAAUUAACAUUUUUAAUUUAUUAAUCUCUAUAUUUACUUUCUCUUCUAUCGUACUUUAAUCUUAUUUUUUUCUUCUAUAUUUUUUUCCAUCUCAUUACAUAUUACAUCUAUCAUUUUUUUUCCUAUUAUUUCUGACAGAGUCAGAUCUUAUGUUGUCUGCCGAUGGCUGGUUCCUAUUUACAGAUCUUCACUGUGCAAGGUCAAGAAUUUAUCCUUUAUUUUUUUAUGAUGUAUAGUUUGUGCGUUGAAUGAUUCCGAUUGCCGUGGAAACAGC
This 552-nucleotide long non-coding RNA is filed under the name Glycine max (soybean). RNAcentral describes it as "long non-coding RNA (GMAX_LNC000369)". Lineage: Eukaryota; Viridiplantae; Streptophyta; Magnoliopsida; Fabales; Fabaceae. The record is from RNAcentral.